UCUGUUAAUUCAAUAUGAAAGCCUUGUGUUUGCCAUGAUGUAUUUUGAUUUAAGCUUGCGAGAAGAUGGCCAUCCAAGACCAUUCGCAACCCAAUUAUCUCGGGUGGGCAAGUCUUGUCACUAUAACCGCACCAAGCUGCCAGAGCUCCGGUCGCGGACAAGGCAUGAUGCAGGCACUGUCAUCGUUAGUGGGUUAUCCUCACGACCUCGUGUAGAGUAUCAGCUUGUACCAUUAGGCCACAAUCACUGGUGAUUAGCUGUCCCCCAUAGUUCUGUAUUAGCGGAAUCACAAGGGCCAUUCGGAAAAUACAAACUAACCAUAACAAUCAAUCACAUUUUUUAGACUUGGUUUGGGAAGUACCAUGUUAUGUCUUGUUGAUUUUUGGUUGCAGUCGGUUGACUAUGUGGUUGACUAUGUGUAUAAUUUGUUUGUC
RNAcentral lists this long non-coding RNA (434 nucleotides) under Eucalyptus grandis. Its description in RNAcentral is "long non-coding RNA (EGRA_LNC000515)". The record is from RNAcentral. Lineage: Eukaryota; Viridiplantae; Streptophyta; Magnoliopsida; Myrtales; Myrtaceae.